This 689-nucleotide ribosomal RNA is filed under the name uncultured Actinobacteridae bacterium. RNAcentral's name for it is "bacterial SSU rRNA". It matches the Rfam family "Bacterial small subunit ribosomal RNA", at positions 95 to 798 of the family's 1533-position model. Lineage: Bacteria; Bacillati; Actinomycetota; Actinomycetes. The record is from RNAcentral.
GUGGCGAACGGGUGAGUAACACGUGAGCAAUCUGCCCUUGACUCUGGGAUAACUGCGGGAAACUGUAGCUAAUACCGGAUACUUUCCUCGCUGGGCAUCCAGCGGGGAAGAAAGAAUUUCGGUCAAGGAUGAGCUCGCGGCCUAUCAGCUAGUUGGUGAGGUAAAGGCUCACCAAGGCGACGACGGGUAGCCGGCCUGAGAGGGUGACCGGCCACACUGGAACUGAGACACGGUCCAGACUCCUACGGGAGGCAGCAGUGGGGAAUAUUGCACAAUGGGCGAAAGCCUGAUGCAGCAACGCCGCGCGAGGGAUGAAGGCCUUCGGGUUGUAAACCUCUUUUAGCAGGGAAGAAGCGAAAGUGACGGUACCUGCAGAAAAAGCACCGGCUAACUACGUGCCAGCAGCCGCGGUAAUACGUAGGGUGCAAGCGUUGUCCGGAAUUAUUGGGCGUAAAGAGCUCGUAGGCGGUUUGUCACGUCUGCUGUGAAAAUCUGAGGCUCAACCUCGGACUUGCAGUGGGUUCGGGCAGACUAGAGUGCGGUAGGGGAGGAGGGAAUUCCUGGUGUAGCGGUGGAAUGCGCAGAUAUCAGGAGGAACACCAAUGGCGAAGGCACUUCUCUGGGCCGUAACUGACGCUGAGGAGCGAAAGCGUGGGGAGCGAACAGGAUUAGAUACCCUGGUAGUCCAC